UACGGGGGGGGGCAAGCGUUGUUCGGAAUUACUGGGCGUAAAAGGCUCGUAGGCGGCCAACUAAGUCAGACGUGAAAUCCCUCGGCUUAACCGGGGAACUGCGUCUGAUACUGGAUGGCUUGAGAUUGGGAGAGGGAUGCGGAAUUCCAGGUGUAGCGGUGAAAUGCGUAGAUAUCUGGAGGAACACCGGUGGCGAAGGCGGCAUCCUGGACCAACACUGACGCUGAGGAGCGAAAGCCAGGGGAGCAAACGGG
RNAcentral lists this ribosomal RNA (254 nucleotides) under uncultured bacterium. RNAcentral describes it as "partial 16S ribosomal RNA". It matches the Rfam family "Bacterial small subunit ribosomal RNA", at positions 524 to 776 of the family's 1533-position model. The record is from RNAcentral.